Molecule: long non-coding RNA, 385 nt
Organism: Andrographis paniculata
Lineage: Eukaryota; Viridiplantae; Streptophyta; Magnoliopsida; Lamiales; Acanthaceae
Exons: 2
Source: RefSeq, a predicted model, not a curated record
AUGCAACCUUACUUUUCUGAAGAGGAGAUUUCAUUUGGAGACGAAGGAGGAGAAUAUUUCGUUAGCUAUUUCGUGGUCCAAUUUUAUUUCGAGAAUUUCCAACGUUUCUGAAUUCUUAUACAGGACUAUUCAUAUGGAUCAGCUGCAACGUGAUUAGGAUUUAUCAAAAAGGAUCAUGUCGAGCUAUAUAUGAGCCAAGAGGUACCGAGGGCAAAUUCUGAGGUGUUGGUUGAUAAAGAAUACAAGCAUCAACAAAAUUUUUAUUUUAAACCCCUUUUUCAUAUUGAAAUUGUGAGUGUGUUGUUGGAUUAUCCCAUUAAAUUCAUGUAAACUCGAUAAUAGGGAUGAACUAUAACUUUCAAAAAGUGUUUGUUACACGAUCCAA